GGCUAACGCUGGCGGCGUGUCUUAGCCAUGCAAGUCGAGCGGACUUAUGGGGUAACUUAUAAGUCAGCGGCGGACGGCGGAGUAACACGUAGCUAACCUACCCUCUGGACGGGGAUAACCUACCGAAAGGUGGGCUAAUACCCGAUGUAGUCAUCCUGUAUAGGGGUGAUGAAAGGUGGGCUUCUGUUUACAAGCUCAUGCUGGAGGAGGGGGCUGCGGCCUAUCAGGUAGUUGGUAGGGUAAUAGCCUACCAAGCCGAUGACGGGUAGCCGGCCUGAGAGGGUGACCGGCCCGAGGGGCACUGAGAUACGGGUCCCACUCCUACGGGAGGCAGCAGGCUAGAAAUUUGGGCAAUGGGGGAAACCCUGACCCAGUGACGCCGCGUGCAGGAAGGAGCCCUUCGGGGUGUAAACUGCUGUCGUGUAGGGAGAAGGGUACUAAGGUGAACAAUCUUAGUACUUGACGGUACUACAGGAGGAAACCCAGGCUAACCUCGUGCCAGCAGCCGCGGUAAGAUAGCGUACU
RNAcentral lists this ribosomal RNA (525 nucleotides) under uncultured bacterium. RNAcentral's name for it is "bacterial SSU rRNA". It matches the Rfam family "Bacterial small subunit ribosomal RNA", at positions 28 to 531 of the family's 1533-position model. The record is from RNAcentral.